Molecule: long non-coding RNA, 1208 nt
Filed under: Homo sapiens (human)
Lineage: Eukaryota; Metazoa; Chordata; Mammalia; Primates; Hominidae
Description: long non-coding RNA NONHSAT208752.1
Source: RNAcentral
UUUGUAUUUUUGGCAUUCUGGAUCCUCUUUCUCUACAAUCGAGAUCUCAUUUACCCCAAGGUCCUAGAUACUGUCAUCCCCGUGUGGCUGAAUCAUGCAAUGCACACUUUCAUAUUCCCCAUCACAUUGGCUGAAGUCGUCCUCAGGCCUCACUCCUAUCCAUCAAAGAAGACAGGACUCACCUUGCUGGCUGCUGCCAGCAUUGCUUACAUCAGCCGCAUCCUAUGGCUCUACUUUGAGACGGGUACCUGGGUGUAUCCUGUGUUUGCCAAACUCAGCCUCUUGGGUCUAGCAGCUUUCUUCUCUCUCAGCUACGUCUUCAUCGCCAGCAUCUACCUACUUGGAGAGAAGCUCAACCACUGGAAAUGGGGUGACAUGAGGCAGCCACGGAAGAAGAGGAAGUAAUUGCACACCAUUUUCCAAGAACCAAGAAAGAAGAAAACACAAGAGAUUUUUCUCAUCUUUUUUUUUUUUUUCUGGUGGAGGGAGGUGGUGGAGGAACAUAGCAAAGUAGGAGGGACAGAGAGUGAUACUUAAAUUUAAUAAGAGGUUCGUGAAGGUAGCUUAACUUGAGAACUCUUGGUUUUUUGAAAGGUUGACUGCACAUGCCAAAAACAACUCCUGCUAUCUCAGAAUUAAUUAUCUUUGACCUUCGUGGAGGAUGGUCUCUGGUUAAAAUCUGGCCAAAGAAACUCACAUAAACUUGGUGUUAGAGAACAUCUAGAGAGAGAGAGAGGAACUUAGAGUCAUUUAAACUCUUCAGUUUACAGAGAAGGAUGCUGAGGACCUAGAUGAGAAGUUACCUGCAAAAGGCAAAAGGGUUACUUAGUGUCAGAACCAAGGCAAUGACUUCUCUCUCCCAGAUCUCCUAGCUACUGGUCCUGGGCCAUUUUUUUUUUUUUAAAUAAUCCCAACUUUCUUUAAAAGACAAGCAUUUCAGUAAGCUAGUUAUUUUCAUGGGUUGCUCAUCCAUUUUUUUCAGUGAUCUAAAAAUGUAGGGAGAUGGCUACUACUGAAGUUGUCUGUCUACUUGGGAUAAUAGCAAAUUAAUUGAAGACAAUGGGAAAGUAAGUUAUAAAAAAUACUGGGAAAUCUGUUUCUCUUCUGAGCAAGCAUUCAGGGCAGGUAUAAACAUCAAACAUAGUGACAUUGUCAAAACCUCUUCCAUUUGAACAUUGAUUAAUUCAUCAAAUAAAUGGUAUAGUAAU